AGUUUCCUAGUGAUUUUUUAGUUGCUGCUUUAAACCACACCAGUCAAGCAGGACACCUUUGAAAAUGCAGACUGGGAGAUCUUCUCAGAUGCUGUUCUAAAUAGGCCACGGUUCACUCCAGUUUUCUCAAAGAAUUUGGUUCAUUUUCCUUGCCCACUGCAGGUCAUCUGAGCCGUGUGUUCAGAGGUGCCGAUCCUGAGAGCCCAGAAGCAAGAGCAGACUCUGCUGUGGCUCCCUCUGCUCCUGGA
Cyanistes caeruleus (blue tit) is the source of this 248-nucleotide non-coding RNA. Lineage: Eukaryota; Metazoa; Chordata; Aves; Passeriformes; Paridae. The record is from RefSeq and is a predicted model, not a curated record.